ACAAGCGGUGGAUGAUGUGGAUUAAUUCGAUGCAACGCGAAAACCUUACUACCCUUGACAUGUCCGGAAUCCCGAAGAGAUUUGGGAGUGCUCGCAAGAGAACCGGAACACAGGUGCUGCAUGGCUGUCGUCAGCUCGUGUCGUGAGAUGUUGGGUUAAGUCCCGCAACGAGCGCAACCCUUGUCAUUAGUUGCCAUCAUUUGGUUGGGCACUCUAAUGAGACUGCCGGUGACAAACCGGAGGAAGGUGGGGAUGACGUCAAGUCCUCAUGGCCCUUAUGGGUAGGGCUUCACACGUCAUACAAUGGUCGGUACAGAGGGUUGCCAACCCGCGAGGGGGAGCUAAUCCCACAAAGCCGAUCGUAGUCCGGAUCGCAGUCUGCAACUCGACUGCGUGAAGUCGGAAUCGCUAGUAAUCGUGGAUCAGCAUGUCACGGUGAAUACGUUCCCGGGUCUU
RNAcentral lists this ribosomal RNA (456 nucleotides) under uncultured Rhodocyclaceae bacterium. RNAcentral's name for it is "bacterial SSU rRNA". It matches the Rfam family "Bacterial small subunit ribosomal RNA", at positions 925 to 1382 of the family's 1533-position model. The record is from RNAcentral. Lineage: Bacteria; Pseudomonadati; Pseudomonadota; Betaproteobacteria; Rhodocyclales; Rhodocyclaceae.